AAACCAACCGGGAUUGCCUUAGUAACGGCGAGUGAAGCGGCAAAAGCUCAAAUUUGAAAUCUAGUACCUUUGGUGCUCGAGUUGUAAUUUGUAGAGGGAUACUUUGGGGCCGUCUCUUAUCUAUGUUCCUUGGAACAGGACGUCAUAGAGGGUGAGAAUCCCGUAUGAUGAGAGUCGCGGUUCUAUGUAAAGUUCCUUCGAAGAGUCGAGUUGUUUGGGAAUGCAGCUCUAAGUGGGUGGUAAAUUCCAUCUAAAGCUAAAUAUUGGCGAGAGACCGAUAGCGAACAAGUACAGUGAUGGAAAGAUGAAAAGAACUUUGAAAAGAGAGUGAAAAAGUACGUGAAAUUGUUGAAAGGGAAGGGCAUUUGAUCAGACAUGGUGUUUUGCGCCCUCUGCUCCUUGUGGGUGGGGGACUCUCGCAGCUCACUGGGCCAGCAUCAGUUUUGGCGGUAGGAUAAAUCCAUAGGAAUGUAGCUUGCCUCGGUAAGUGUUAUAGCCUGUGGGAAUACUGCCAGCCGGGACUGAGGACUGCGACAUUCGUCAAGGAUGCUGGCAUAAUGGUUAUAUGCCGC
RNAcentral lists this ribosomal RNA (572 nucleotides) under Kazachstania sp. CWL-2015. RNAcentral describes it as "eukaryotic LSU rRNA". It matches the Rfam family "Eukaryotic large subunit ribosomal RNA", at positions 62 to 648 of the family's 3401-position model. Lineage: Eukaryota; Fungi; Ascomycota; Saccharomycetes; Saccharomycetales; Saccharomycetaceae. The record is from RNAcentral.